Molecule: ribosomal RNA, 439 nt
Filed under: uncultured bacterium
Lineage: Bacteria
Description: bacterial SSU rRNA
Rfam family: Bacterial small subunit ribosomal RNA
Source: RNAcentral
GCACAACGCGAAGAACCUUACCUACUCUUGACAUCCACGGAAUUCGCCAGAGAUGGCUUAGUGCCUUCGGGAACCGUGAGACAGGUGCUGCAUGGCUGUCGUCAGCUCGUGUUGUGAAAUGUUGGGUUAAGUCCCGCAACGAGCGCAACCCUUAUCCUUUGUUGCCAGCACGUAAUGGUGGGAACUCAAAGGAGACUGCCGGUGAUAAACCGGAGGAAGGUGGGGAUGACGUCAAGUCAUCAUGGCCCUUACGAGUAGGGCUACACACGUGCUACAAUGGCAUAUACAAAGAGAAGCGAACUCGCGAGAGCAAGCGGACCUCAUAAAGUAUGUCGUAGUCCGGAUUGGAGUCUGCAACUCGACUCCAUGAAGUCGGAAUCGCUAGUAAUCGUAGAUCAGAAUGCUACGGUGAAUACGUUCCCGGGUCUUGUACACACCG